AGGGAAUCUUCCACAAUGGACGCAAGUCUGAUGGAGCAACGCCGCGUGAGUGAAGAAGGUUUUCGGACCGUAAAGCUCUGUUGUUGGUGAAGAAGGAUAGAGGUAGUAACUGGCCUUUAUUUGACGGUAAUCAACCAGAAAGUCACGGCUAACUACGUGCCAGCAGCCGCGGUAAUACGUAGGUGGCAAGCGUUGUCCGGAUUUAUUGGGCGUAAAGCGAGCGCAGGCGGAAGAAUAAGUCUGAUGUGAAAGCCCUCGGCUUAACCGAGGAAUUGCAUCGGAAACUGUUUUCUUGAGUGCAGAAGAGGAGAGUAGAACUCCAUGUGUAGCGGUGGAAUGCGUAGAUAUAUGGAAGAAUACCAGUGGCGAAGGCGGCUCUCUGGUCUGCAACUGACGCUGAGGCUCGAAAGCAUGGGUAGCGAACAGGAUUAGAUACCCUGGUAGUCCAUGCCGUAAAACGAUGAGUGCUAAGUGUUGGGAGGCUUCCGCCUCUCAGUGCUGCAGCUAACGCAUUAAGCACUCCGCCUGGGGGAGUACGACCGCAAGAUUGAAAC
This 554-nucleotide ribosomal RNA is filed under the name uncultured bacterium. Its description in RNAcentral is "partial 16S ribosomal RNA". It matches the Rfam family "Bacterial small subunit ribosomal RNA", at positions 356 to 900 of the family's 1533-position model. The record is from RNAcentral.